UACGUAGGGUGCGAGCGUUGUUCGGAAUCACUGGGCUUAAAGGGCGCGUAGGCGGAUUCUCAAGUCCGGGGUGAAAUCCCACAGCUCAACUGUGGAACUGCCUCGGAUACUGGGGGUCUCGAGGGUGGCAGGGGUAUGCGGAACUAUCGGUGGAGCGGUGAAAUGCGUUGAUAUCUACAGGAACUCCGGUGGCGAAAGCGGCGUGCUGGAUCUCUUCUGACGCUGAGGCUCGAAAGCUAGGGGAGCAAACGGG
This 253-nucleotide ribosomal RNA is filed under the name uncultured bacterium. Its description in RNAcentral is "partial 16S ribosomal RNA". It matches the Rfam family "Bacterial small subunit ribosomal RNA", at positions 524 to 776 of the family's 1533-position model. The record is from RNAcentral.